GUCGCGGUAGUUUAAUAAAAAUUAAAGUUUGUGGAGCUUUAGAUAGACUGGUUCUCUACGACA
This 63-nucleotide transfer RNA is filed under the name Isotomurus maculatus. RNAcentral describes it as "tRNA-His". Lineage: Eukaryota; Metazoa; Arthropoda; Collembola; Entomobryomorpha; Isotomidae. The record is from RNAcentral.